This 458-nucleotide ribosomal RNA is filed under the name Burkholderia sp. CEL6K. RNAcentral's name for it is "bacterial SSU rRNA". It matches the Rfam family "Bacterial small subunit ribosomal RNA", at positions 8 to 466 of the family's 1533-position model. The record is from RNAcentral. Lineage: Bacteria; Pseudomonadati; Pseudomonadota; Betaproteobacteria; Burkholderiales; Burkholderiaceae.
AGAGUUUGAUCCUGGCUCAGAUUGAACGCUGGCGGCAUGCCUUACACAUGCAAGUCGAACGGCAGCACGGGGGCAACCCUGGUGGCGAGUGGCGAACGGGUGAGUAAUACAUCGGAACGUGUCCUGUAGUGGGGGAUAGCCCGGCGAAAGCCGGAUUAAUACCGCAUACGCUCUACGGAGGAAAGGGGGGGAUCUUAGGACCUCCCGCUACAGGGGCGGCCGAUGGCAGAUUAGCUAGUUGGUGGGGUAAAGGCCUACCAAGGCGACGAUCUGUAGCUGGUCUGAGAGGACGACCAGCCACACUGGGACUGAGACACGGCCCAGACUCCUACGGGAGGCAGCAGUGGGGAAUUUUGGACAAUGGGCGAAAGCCUGAUCCAGCAAUGCCGCGUGUGUGAAGAAGGCCUUCGGGUUGUAAAGCACUUUUGUCCGGAAAGAAAACCUCCGCCCUMAUAUGG